CGUAGAGGGCGUACCUUCUUGCCCUUUUUUGGUCAAACCCCAAUCUUCUAAGAUUAGUGUUUCCCUUUAGUCCAAAAUGUUUUAAGGGAUUUGGCAAACACUUAAUAUCAGAGCUAGACGAUUUUCCAAGCAAAUACUUUUCUUUUAGGAAGCUAACUUAAAAUUAAUUAUUCUUUUCCUCAUUUGGGUUCACGAUGGUGGCAUAUGGAUUAGCGACCUCCUGUGCCCAAAAGAUUCAAAUCUCUUGAUCAAAAGGCUCAUUUCAUCGCCUUAGUAACAGUAAACGUACUAUAGCAACUAUGUAUAAACAGAGAUCUUAAAUGUAUUUUCAUCCAAUUCUCUACAAAAGGAUUAACUACCUUAUUACUUAACCAAUAUCUAAGCUUGAAAGUAUCUGCAAAUAUCUUUUCCUUUUUUAUUAAGACAACAAUCGAGGCAAUAUGUUCCAAUAUGUUCCGAUGUCUCGAGGCAAUAUGUUCCUAAACAACAGCAAAAUUGGGACUGUUGCAUUUAGCGAUUUCUACUUCAACGCUAAGAAAGUAAAAAUGAAUGAACCAGAUCUCAUGGUUAAUUCAUCUAUCCAUUAAUGUCGCAUAUUAUUCUGUUAAAGUUCGUCCUUGAAUAUCUGUACUUGGAAAUUUCCUUUUGGAUAGCCUGUUUUAUAGAAAAUUCUUAAAAGCCACGCCACUGUAUAUUUUUUUUAGUUGACGAUGUUAGGGGAAGGCUCAUGAGCCUAUACUAAAGCCCUAGCAAAGGAAUAGAGAAAGGAUUAGGAAGUGAGAGAGGAAAAAGCAAGUUUGUUUACCUUCGUUUUGAAUAAAGACAGGUUGUAAGAGUCUGGAAAACAGGAAGAGUUUAGAGCAUUCCAAAGAUUACAAGAUCUUAGGAGGAAGAAAGAGUGGGAUAUGAUGAAGAUGGAAGGAGCUACCCCACCCCGUAACCCCUUCGAACUGCUCGAUACCUGUAUAGUUUGCAGGGGCUCUUUGAAACAUUCAAUUGAGAUUAUGUAAGACCCUUUCAGAACUCUUCAUCAAUGCUCAAUUUGAACCUUCAAUGGAUUUUGCCAUAGCAGCAAUUUACUGUUCUUUGUGUAGAUAGGAACCUCCAGUAGUGCAUCAAGGAGUUGUAUUGGGGUGUAAUUACCCCCACUCUUGCCAAAACAUAGUCCUCAUAUUUUUUCUAAAAAAUUGAAAAAUGCAUAGGGUAGGGGUAGGUUAUGUUUUUUUAUUUGCUGAAGGAAAAUACGCCUGGUAUUAUUCAUGAUAAAGGGUAAAAAUGGGGUGUAGUCUCAUGGGUCAUGCCGAUUACCCUAUUCCUCUGCAGAAGCUGGCCCCUCACUGGGAACCGUCAUUGCAACACAAGGGUACACUUAGCUAAUAAAUUUAUAAUUUAGUGCCCAGGCUUCUACCGUUUGGUGUAGCCUGAUAAAAAAGGUAAUUGUCGCAAAUCGGUUUUAAAAGGGUUGCCCGUGACGUAUUAUAAUACUGAGAUUAACGCGCAUGAAAAGAGAUUCUGAAUUACUGUUUGAAGUUCGUUAUAUAUGAGAGACUUUCUAUCCUUGGCAGAAGAGCCAAAACAAUUGGUGUAUUGAAAAAAGGAGAGGAACAGAAAAGCAGAAGCAGAUGCGUGUACAGCUGAAACAAAGAAAAAGCAGAAGUGACUUAACUGAUGAACGUAAAAUCUGGAACAAGGUUGCGCAUCGGUUAACCCAGAACCAAGUAUUCCUUUCAGGGCCCGCACCACUGGGUGGCCAUGGCCCCCCACUAUUUUGGGAAGCAAGUAGUUUUAAAACUGCAAUAAAAGUGGUAAGAAGCCUUGACCCCCUAAAUUUCUAGCCUUGCCCCCCUCCACUUAAAAAUUCGUGGCGCGGGUUAUGUCGUUGGGUUAAACAGGGUGAAGGUAACUUCCCGUUUGAAGUGCGUUAUAGAUCAGAGAUUUUCUAGACUGUGCUCCAGACCCCCAACUUGAAGGAAGAGGGAAAUCUACUCCAAAAGUUUUCUGCCUUUGGGAAAGAGCCAAAUAGAUUUGUAUGUGGAAAUAUAGAUAGAAGAACAAAGAUACAGAGAGGUCGAGGAGCUCACAGUUGGAACGAAAAAAAGUAGAAGUUGCUUUACUGGUUAAACUUAAGCUGAAAAUUUGGAACAAGGCUGAGCAUUGGUUAAACCAGAGCCAAAUUUUCCAUCUUUCCACCUAGACUAGACGCUUCUACUAUUCUUGUCUACUCUCUUCUAUUUUCACGUUCAAGUUUAUGUGUGUCGGGUGCCUGGGGUUCAGGUUUUCCAGCUUUUUUAUUUUUUCUUUCUUUAUUUAAAGUUGGUACAAUUUCUAGCUAUGCAUACAAGCUAAUUAAAACCAACUAAUUUAAAUUACCAACGCUAAAUAUAAUAUAAAUCAAAUAUAACCGAUGUUACUAACAUAUUCCUUGCAAAGAUUACAAGUACAAUUAAACGAUGUAAAUUCUGAGAUUUUUUUCUUGAAAAUUGAUAAUGUAGGGGAGUACUUUAUCUCAUUUGGAAUUGAGUUCCAUAAUUGGCUACAUCUGUAUGAUACGGAGCUUGUGUAGGAACAUUAGGUGGGGGGUAGGGGGGUCUUUGUCUAUUGUUGUAAACAAGGAGAUGUCACAUUAUUUUUUCUUGGAAUACAUCUUUGUAUACUUUGAGCCUAUAAUAGAAUUUCAAAUAGUUAAAAGGGUACGAUCAAUGCAGUGCAUUAUUUAUCAAUGUGUGUAGACCUGCAAAGGGCCCAAUCUUUUUUCCAUAAUGCUGAAGAAUGUUAAGAUACAUCUCCAUCAAUUCAGCAUGAGUUUGUUUUGCAAAACCAUGCAUACUUGACAAAACAAAAACUCUUCAAAACAAAGAGAAAAGGCACCCCUAUUUGUAUGUACCAAUGAAAGCAACAUUGAAGAAUACUGGGCUACUUCAUUCAGUCUAACUACUCAACUUUUUGUCGCGUUAUCCAAUGGUAAUCGAUAAAUUUUUGCAAGAGGCUCAUUGCUUCUGCAUAACACUGCAAACUUUACAUCUGCUCCACCUCCUGAAUACCCUUUUAAUUUUCUUAGAUCAUCUCUCCAUCGAGAUUUGUUUGGCAUAUUUCAUGCUGCUCAGUACGCAUGAAACUGCUGCAAAAUUUAUUGUUGUUAUGAACUUACCAAAUUUUAUCAAUCCUACUCAAACAAUUUUCUAAUCAUAUUUUGAAUCAGAGACUAUUAAAACUAGCUCUCAUCAACCGCAAUGGAUUCUUUAAUCACUUCUAUAGAUUAACUGGCUCACAGAGGAACUUUCCAAUUGCUUGAAAUAUUUCAUUUUCAACCACAUGCUAGUUGUGGGCUGUGACGCCCCCACACUACCCCGCAAAAUCAAAUAGCAAAAGUAUAAGAGGCGUCAUUAGAAAUCAAUAAGUGCUGAAGAAAAUUUUCACUUAAAUUCUGUAAAGAUACUACUAAGAUUAGAUUCUACCCAGUACCUUCAAUGUAAUUUCCCACGAAUAUGGUCACAGGUGAAGCAAGCUGCUAAAGAAGAUAGUAGUAGGGUUAUGGGCGUAGCCUUCGGAAAGUGCACAACUUCUUACAUCACUAAAACGCCUUUUGCAUCGCUUUAGAGCUACAACCUUCUAAAACUGCUUUUUUUAGGUUCUGCAUACAAUAUCAGACAUAAACAGUCUUCUCUUCUUGUACAGAGAAUAAAGAGAGACUGAAGAAUCGCAAAAAGAGAUGUUCAGAGGGUUGUAUUAUUCACAGUAUCAAGUAAGACCGAAAGUGCACAAGUGCAAUUAGAAACGAUUUCCUUUUUUAGGAUCUAUGUGGAUGAAAGAGGGUCGUUACCCAAUUAGAGGUAAGUCUAGUGUCCUAAUUUGGCCUUUAAGUAAAAUUAUCUGAAUCUUUCCAUCUGUCUCGUAGAUCUUUUACGAUUUAUCUGUCUUACAAAAGUGACAGUCAUUUAACCUCUCUUAACACCGUAACGUAAGCUUUUUAAUAAGCAAAAGUAUCAUUCAAUCUCUGAAUUAGAGAAAGAAGACGUUUCCUCAUAGGGAUUGUUUUUAUCAUAUUUUCCCUUCUCCUAAUUAUUUGCUGGGUCAGAUUAGCAAUGCUGAAUCUAAAACUGCUUUUGAUAACUCAAAGAAACAAUGAACGGUAAUCGAAAAUUAAAGUGAAAAUCAUAUAUAAAUACAGAGGAUAAAAGCAUUUGCUGCUUUUAACUGGCUAAGAAACAGCUAAACUGACUUUUUAACAUACGAAUAGAGCGUCUUAUUUCUCAGAGCGUUUAAGCAAAGGCUAUAGUUAAAUCAUCCAGGGGCUCAAGUAUUGGUUUUGCAUUAUUCCUUUUGUGGUGAUAAGAGUCUUUCGAUGGGGUGAAAGGGGAAAUAGUAGCCACUGGCUUCAAUAGCACUAGACUUUGCCAAUGUCUAUUCAGGCAUUUCAGUAUAUUUCGGGGUCGUGAAGGGGGAGAUGUGAGACACACAUGAUACAGAAGUAGCAUCUCUUUGCUUAUCUCUCCGCUUGAUCUAUAAUCAUUGAACAAUAAUGAAAGAAAUGGUUUGUUAAAACUGUGAUACCACUCUUUGGACACGCUUUGGAGUAAAGAAAACAGCUAAGAAUUAACGAAGACCAUCACUUCACAAGCGGAUAAAACGAGAAAAUGUUAAUGCUGUUAAACCUCGUAUGUAACAUCAUAAGUUAAAGCUUAAUUCAUUCAGCUGUCAAGUUCAAAAUACUUACCUGUAUGGAGGUUAAUGUUUAUCUUCUUAGAAUAAAUGGAAACGUAUCUUUUUGAUUCUAAUCUGGUUAAUAAUCAACAAGCUUACGAUUGUUACUAAGGUGCAAGAUUAUCCUACGUCUGCAGGAUUCUGUUGCCCGGAACCCUCGUGAACGUCUUUUGUUUCUCAACACGAUCGGCAUCUGGGAUUUUUUUGAAGUAAUUGACUUGGUUUUCAAUGUGGGUUUUUAAAGUUGUAAAUUCUGCAAUACAAGGAAGCUGGGAGGAUACAGUGCCCAAUGCUAAUGAUUCGAAUGCAGCAGUUAAAAUAUGUUUUUGCUUUAUAAACAUGCACCUUAAUUGACCAGACAGGUUAAGACCUGUCCUGUUCAAUAAUCAGUUUCUCCAACUUGAUAAAGCAAGAGACGUGUUGAACACCCUGGCAGUGAGACUCAGAUACGCCCAUUUGAUGUCGAUCCUAAGGAAGUUCGUAUUCAUGUAAACAAUCCAGCUAAGAGAAGAGUAUUUUUGGGAAAUAUCUUAUAAUUGGGUAAUUACAAAGUAAUGGAAGGCCAAAUCAACAAUAACGAAAGCUUGAACACCGUUUUCCAUAUUCCUGAACAUUGGAUGCCGGUGGAUCAAAGAUAAUAAAUCGAAAUUCAUGUUUGUAUCAAUUGAAAUAGACUGACAAAAAACACGUCAAAAAUAUCCCAAUCACUCAUUUCCAAUGAGUAUAAAAUUGGCAAUGCUCUAUAAAAAUGCCUUCUUCAAAGCUACUCCAGUAAAUCAUGCAGCGAUAGUUAGAAAAAGAUAGUUAAGACUAUACGUGGCUCUUUCUAUGUUUGUAUGCUAAGUUUUCUUGUCUAUGACGUCAUUGCACUUAAUCUUCAAGCAUCCAAUCAAGAGCAAAGCAUGCGUGUAUUGUCUCGUUUUUUCGAAUAAUGUACAUAAUCAACUUUAUUGCAAUAGGCACAUGGGUACCUGUCUGGUUUUCUUUUUUGUACUCAGUCAUAACGUGCUUUACUCUAAAAGGUAUAGUAAAAUCGGCAAUAUUUGUUUUAUUUUUAAGCCUGAACGUUUGAGAGGUACCUCUUUUUACUUUCCAGAUUGAACAUUCCCUGUUUUGCCAAUUCUAGCUUCUUUAGUAUCGGCAAUAUAAUAUAUGGUGUCCAUAAGGGCUCCUGUCUUGGUCCACUUCUGUUCCUAAUCUACACAGAUGAUCUAACAUUUUUCUUAAAAAGGAAAUUUUAUUGUUUGACAACGGUUCUGCGACUUGGCAUUCCUUGAGGCUAUUUCUUGAACUUCAGCAUGAUUUUAACCUACAUCUUGCCAAUAUACAGACCUGACUGCAGGGAAAGGAGUUAACAUGGUAAAACAUAGUUUACGAAAAUACUUUGCAAAACAAAUAUUCCAAGUUUCAGUUUCAUCGUCGCUUUUCAAUCUUACUUGAUAACGGGCUAUGCUUGAAACGUCGUUAAUUAUUUUAAAAAGAUAUUUUCCUGGUACAAG
Non-coding RNA from Rhopilema esculentum, 6200 nucleotides. The record is from RefSeq and is a predicted model, not a curated record. NCBI's taxonomy places the organism in Eukaryota, Metazoa, Cnidaria, Scyphozoa, Rhizostomeae, Rhizostomatidae.